RNAcentral lists this ribosomal RNA (468 nucleotides) under uncultured bacterium. RNAcentral's name for it is "partial 16S ribosomal RNA". It matches the Rfam family "Bacterial small subunit ribosomal RNA", at positions 28 to 507 of the family's 1533-position model. The record is from RNAcentral.
GACGAACGCUGGCGGCGUGCUUAACACAUGCAAGUCGAACGGAAAGGCCCUGCUUUUGUGGGGUGCUCGAGUGGCGAACGGGUGAGUAACACGUGAGUAACCUGCUCUUGACUUUGGGAUAACUUCAGGAAACUGGGGCUAAUACCGGAUAGGAGCCCCUGCUGCAUGGUGGGGGUUGGAAAGUUUCGGCGGUUGGGGAUGGACUCGCGGCUUACCAGCUUGUUGGUGGGGUAGUGGCUUACCAAGGCUUUGACGGGUAGCCGGCAUGAGAGGGUGACCGGCGACAUUGGGACUAAGAUACGGCGCAGACUCCAACGGGAGGCAGCGGUGGGGAGUAUGGCACAAUGGGCGGGAGCGUGAUGAGGAAGCGCCGCGUGCGGGAUGACGGCCUUCGGGUUAUGAACCGCUUUCGCCUGUGACGAAGCGUGAGUGACGGUAAUGGAUGAAGAAGCACCGGCUAACUACGUG